GCCAGCAGCCAUAUCACCCUGUAGCCCAAGACUGGUUGCCCACUGAAGCUAAGCAGGGCUGAGCCUCGUCAGUACCUAGAUGGGAGACCUCCUGAGAAAACUAGGUUGCUGCUGGAA
RNAcentral lists this ribosomal RNA (117 nucleotides) under Sinocyclocheilus anshuiensis. Lineage: Eukaryota; Metazoa; Chordata; Actinopteri; Cypriniformes; Cyprinidae. The record is from RNAcentral.